GUUAAGUUAGUGGCGGACGGGUGAGUAACGCGUGGGUAACUGCCGUAUACCGGGGAUAACACCUGGAAACAGGUGCUAAUACCGCAUAAGCGCACGGGACCGCAUGGUCCAGUGUGAAAAACCGAGGUGGUAUGCGAUGGACCCGCGUCUGAUUAGCCAGUUGGCAGGGUAACGGCCUACCAAAGCGACGAUCAGUAGCCGGCCUGAGAGGGUGGACGGCCACAUUGGGACUGAGACACGGCCCAAACUCCUACGGGAGGCAGCAG
Molecule: ribosomal RNA, 266 nt
Filed under: uncultured bacterium
Lineage: Bacteria
Description: partial 16S ribosomal RNA
Rfam family: Bacterial small subunit ribosomal RNA
Source: RNAcentral